UGAGCUGGGGGUGGCCGCAGAGACCAGCGAGAAGCGACUGUUUACUAAAAACACAGGUCCGUGCGAAGCCGUAAGGCGAUGUAUACGGACUGACGCCUGCCCGGUGCUGGAACGUUAAGGGGACCGGUUAGCUUGGAUUCGUCCAGGCGAAGCUGAGAACUUAAGCGCCAGUAAACGGCGGUGGUAACUAUAACCAUCCUAAGGUAGCGAAAUUCCUUGUCGGGUAAGUUCCGACCUGCACGAAUGGCGUAACGACUUCUCGACUGUCUCAACCAUAGGCCCGGUGAAAUUGCACUACGAGUAAAGAUGCUCGUUUCGCGCAGCAGGACGGAAAGACCCCGGGACCUUUACUACAGUUUGAUAUUGGUGUUCGGUUCGGCUUGUGUAGGAUAGCUGGGAGACUUUGAGCAUCGGACGCCAGUUCGGUGGGAGUCGUCGUUGAAAUACCAGUCUGGUCGUGCUGGAUGUCUAACCUGGGUCCGUGAUCCGGAUCAGGGACAGUGUCUGAUGGGUAGUUUAACUGGGGCGGUUGCCUCCUAAAGGGUAACGGAGGCGCCCAAAGGUUCCCUCAGCCUGGUUGGUAAUCAGGUGUUGAGUGUAAGUGCACAAGGGAGCUUGACUGUGAGACCGACGGGUCGAGCAGGGACGAAAGUCGGGACUAGUGAUCCGGCGGUGGCUUGUGGAAGCGCCGUCGCUCAACGGAUAAAAGGUACCCCGGGGAUAACAGGCUGAUCUUCCCCAAGAGUCCAUAUCGACGGGAUGGUUUGGCACCUCGAUGUCGGCUCGUCGCAUCCUGGGGCUGGAGUCGGUCCCAAGGGUUGGGCUGUUCGCCCAUUAAAGCGGUACGCGAGCUGGGUUUAGAACGUCGUGAGACAGUUCGGUCCCUAUCCGCUGUGCGCGUAGGAGUCUUGAGAAGGGCUGUCCCUAGUACGAGAGGACCGGGACGGACGAACCUCUGGUGUGCCAGUUGUUCUGCCAAGGGCAUGGCUGGUUGGCUACGUUCGGGAGGGAUAACCGCUGAAAGCAUCUAAGCGGGAAGCCUGCUUCGAGAUGAGGACUCCCACC
Molecule: ribosomal RNA, 1065 nt
Filed under: Streptomyces vinaceus
Lineage: Bacteria; Bacillati; Actinomycetota; Actinomycetes; Kitasatosporales; Streptomycetaceae
Also listed under: 1 other name
Description: partial 23S ribosomal RNA
Rfam family: Bacterial large subunit ribosomal RNA
Source: RNAcentral